This 130-nucleotide small nuclear RNA is filed under the name Canis lupus familiaris (dog). RNAcentral's name for it is "7SK RNA". It matches the Rfam family "7SK RNA", at positions 200 to 331 of the family's 331-position model. From Rfam's summary of the family: 7SK was discovered as an abundant small nuclear RNA in the mid-70s but a possible function has only recently been suggested. Two independent studies have found that 7SK RNA binds the CDK9/cyclin T complex (known as elongation factor P-TEFb). RNAcentral also lists the same sequence under 1 other name. Lineage: Eukaryota; Metazoa; Chordata; Mammalia; Carnivora; Canidae. The record is from Rfam by way of RNAcentral.
ACCCCCAGCCCUCCUGCUUGAACCUCUAAGAAAGCUCCCAAGGUGAAUUUGUAGGAGAGCAUAGGGUAGUCAAGCUUCCAAGACUCCAGAUAUGUACAUGAGGCACUGCAAGUGGCAGUCUGCUUUUCUU